GCUUUUUCACCCCUAAACUCAUAUUUUCACUAUUUCAGCUUCCCCCGAAGCCCCAAAAUCAUUUCCAACACCCGAAACACGCCCCGAAGUGCCCGAGAAGCCCGAGAAAUUUAUCUUUUUGGCUUGAAGCUCAACCCUCGCAGGCCCGGGUUUUCAAUAAAGCUCCCGGUUUUCAACGAAGAAAGCUAUUUAUUAUAACGAAGUGAUACACAAAUUACUAUUUUAACCCCCGGUUAUUUCACGGUGAGUUUGAUAUAUAGGAACAAUUGUAUGUUAUGUGUUAUAUGUGCUAUGUGCUUUUCUGUUGUUAUUAUUUCUGCUAUUUAUGAUAGCAUAGCUGUACCUUUGGCCAUGUGAUUAGUGAAAGGACUUAGAUUCACAGUGGUAUUCGUAUGUAGCCUCUGGCCGUGUAGAGCAUGCCUUGUAAGAGAAUGACUUCUACCCCUAUGGCAUUGACAGAAGGUUAGAUAGGGCUAAAAGCCUAAAAUCUACCAAAAUGUUUAAUCGGAAAGUGUAUGUCUUCUGAGCCAUUUGGGCCGAAGCUUUAUUGAUGUAUAUCAAGUAUGGAAAUUGUUAUGUCUCAUUGAUUAUAUCUUUGAAUCAAAUCAUUAAUUGAUAUACUUGUAAGAGAAUGACUUCUACCCCUAUGGCAUUGACAGAAGGUUAGAUAGGGCUAAAAGCCUAAAAUCUACCAAAAUGUUUAAUCGGAAAGUGUAUGUCUUCUGAGCCAUUU
Molecule: long non-coding RNA, 733 nt
Filed under: Lactuca sativa (garden lettuce)
Lineage: Eukaryota; Viridiplantae; Streptophyta; Magnoliopsida; Asterales; Asteraceae
Description: long non-coding RNA (LSAT_LNC005074)
Source: RNAcentral